RNAcentral lists this unclassified non-coding RNA (254 nucleotides) under Capnodiales sp. Its description in RNAcentral is "partial contains 5.8S ribosomal RNA, internal transcribed spacer 2, and large subunit ribosomal RNA". The record is from RNAcentral. Lineage: Eukaryota; Fungi; Ascomycota; Dothideomycetes; Capnodiales.
CGCACAUUGCGCCCUUUGGCAUUCCGAGGGGCAUGCCCGUUCGAGCGUCAUUAAAUCCAAUCAAGCCCGGCUUGGUAUUGGGCGUCGGGGACUCCCCGCGCUCCAAUUUCGCCGGCUGGCCGUCGCCUGUCUUAGCGUUGCGACUUGUUAUUCGCUAUCGACGGGACCGGACCACGCCGUUAAAAACCCCAAAUUUCAAUCGAAAUUUGAUUAAGGUUGACCGCGGAUCGGGUAGGAAUACCCGCUGAACUUAA